This 390-nucleotide ribosomal RNA is filed under the name uncultured fungus. RNAcentral's name for it is "SSU rRNA". It matches the Rfam family "Eukaryotic small subunit ribosomal RNA", at positions 253 to 640 of the family's 1831-position model. The record is from RNAcentral. Lineage: Eukaryota; Fungi.
AUAGUAACUGAUCGAAUCGCAUGGUUUUAUGCUGGCGAAUAGUUCAUUCAAAUUUCUGCCCUAUCAGCUUUCGACGGUAGUUGUAGCGGACUACCGUGGCGUUAACGGGUGACGGAGAAAUUAGGGUUCGAUUCCGGAGAGGGAGCUGAGAAACGGUACCACAUCCAAGGAAGGCAGCAGGCGCGCAAAAUUACCCAAUCCUGACACAGGGAGGUAGUGACAAAGAAAUAACAAUACCGGGCCUUUCCAGGUCUGGUAAUUGGAAUGAGUACAAUUUAAAUCCCUUAACAAGGAUCCAUUGGAGGGCAAGUCUGGUGCAGCAGCCGCGGUAAUUCCAGCUCCAAUAGCGUAUAUUAAUGUUGCUGCAGUUAAAAAGCUCGUAGUUGGAUU